This 423-nucleotide ribosomal RNA is filed under the name Cercamia cladara (frail cardinalfish). RNAcentral's name for it is "partial 12S ribosomal RNA". It matches the Rfam family "Bacterial small subunit ribosomal RNA", at positions 915 to 1533 of the family's 1533-position model. The record is from RNAcentral. Lineage: Eukaryota; Metazoa; Chordata; Actinopteri; Kurtiformes; Apogonidae.
GGCGCUUCACACCCACCUAGAGGAGCCUGUUCUAGAACCGAUAACCCCCGUUCAACCUCACCUUCUCUUGUUCUCCCCGCCUAUAUACCGCCGUCGUCAGCCCACCCUGUGAAGGCCCAGUAGUGAGCUAAACUGGCACAGCCCAAAACGUCAGGCCGAGGUGUAGCAUAUGAGAAGGGAAGAAAUGGGCUACAAUUGCAACAACAGCUAAAACGAAUUGUACCGCUGAAAAUGCACACAUGAAGGAGGAUUUAGAAGUAAGGGGGCAAACAGAGCGUCCCCCUGAAACGGUUCUGAAGCGUGCACACACCGCCCGUCACUCUCCCCUAGCUAGACCGGCACACAGUAUAUAAACACAAACAACCUACACGGGGAGACAAGUCGUAACAUGGUAAGUGUACCGGAAGGUGCACUUGGAUAAAU